Molecule: ribosomal RNA, 433 nt
Filed under: uncultured bacterium
Lineage: Bacteria
Description: partial 16S ribosomal RNA
Rfam family: Bacterial small subunit ribosomal RNA
Source: RNAcentral
AACGAACGCUGGCGGCAUGCCUAACACAUGCAAGUCGAACGAGACCUUCGGGUCUAGUGGCGCACGGGUGCGUAACGCGUGGGAACCUGCCCUUAGGUUCGGAAUAACUCCCCGAAAGGGGUGCUAAUACCGGAUAAUGUCUUCGGACCAAAGAUUUAUCGCCUUUGGAUGGGCCCGCGUUGGUUUAGCUAGUUGGUAGGGUAAAAGCCUACCAAGGCGGAGAUCCAUAGCUGGUCUGAGAGGAUGGUCAGCCACACUGGGACUGAGGCACGGCCCAGACCCGUGGGGAAGGCGAGGGGGGGAAAUAUUGAACAGGGGGGGAGCGCUAAAGACGACUGUGCCGGGGGAGGGAAGAGGCUUUUGGGGAUGAAUAGCUCUUUAACCGGGUAUUAAACUGACGGUACGGGAAGAAUAAGCACCGGCUAACUCCGUG